CUCGAGGCCCGGGCUGCGGGAGAGCAUAACCGGGUAAGGACAGCCGGGAUGGGACUGGGAUGGGACCGGGAUGGGGGAACGGGGAUGGAGACAGGGAUCGGGACAGGGAUGGGGACAGGGAUGGGACUGGGAUGGGACCGGGAUGGGGACAAGGAUGGGGAGACAGGGAUGGGGAGGGGAGACGGGGAUGGGGGAACUGGCAUGGGAAACAGCGAUGGGGGAUGGAUGGGGAGGGGGGACAGGGAUGGGGACAGGGAUGGGACGCAUGGGAAACAGCGAUGGGGGAUGGAUGGGGAGGGGGGACAGGGAUGGGGACAGGGAUGGGGGAACGGAGAUGAGGAGCGGGGCAGAAGCAGGGAAGAGGGGACAGACGUGAAGAGGGGGCACAGACGGAGGGGGACACGGGCACGGGGACACAGGCACGGGGAGGGGGACACAGGCACGGGGAGGGGGACGCAGCCACGCGGGGGCUCCGGCGGGCAGAGCAUCCCUGCUCAGCGCUCCCGCUCCCCGCAGCGGCGGCUCCCGGCUCCAGCCCAGGUUGGCGAGCAGGGGGCGGCCCCAGGGCUGCGGCACCCCCGGCCCCUCCGAGCCCCAUCGCUCCUCCCGGGGGAGCGGCCAGCGCGGGGAGCGCUCCCGGCGCGGCUGCGGGAGCUGGGAGGCUCCAGCGGGAGAGCAGCCCUGGAGCUGCAGGAACAAGAUGCCCGUGAAGUUUAACCUCUCCUAAGAGGGAAAAAAAACCACAGAGAA
Molecule: long non-coding RNA, 750 nt
Filed under: Parus major (Great Tit)
Lineage: Eukaryota; Metazoa; Chordata; Aves; Passeriformes; Paridae
Description: lncRNA (ENSPMJG00000017554.1)
Source: RNAcentral